Molecule: ribosomal RNA, 409 nt
Filed under: uncultured beta proteobacterium
Lineage: Bacteria; Pseudomonadati; Pseudomonadota; Betaproteobacteria
Description: bacterial SSU rRNA
Rfam family: Bacterial small subunit ribosomal RNA
Source: RNAcentral
GGAGGAAAGCAGGGGAUCGCAAGACCUUGCGCUCAUUGAGCGGCCGAUGCCUGAUUAGCUAGUUGGUGAGGUAAAGGCUUACCAAGGCGACGAUCAGUAGCUGGUCUGAGAGGACGACCAGCCACACUGGGACUGAGACACGGCCCAGACUCCUACGGGAGGCAGCAGUGGGGAAUUUUGGACAAUGGGGGAAACCCUGAUCCAGCCAUGCCGCGUGAGUGAAGAAGGCCUUCGGGUUGUAAAGCUCUUUCAGCCGGAACGAAACGGUCACGGCUAAUACCUGUGACUACUGACGGUACCGGGAGAAGAAGCACCGGCUAACUACGUGCCAGCAGCCGCGGUGAUACGUAGGGUGCGAGCGUUAAUCGGAAUUACUGGGCGUAAAGCGUGCGCAGGCGGUUUUGUAAGU